GCACCGUUUUCCGAUCAUUCCUCGCUUUUCCUUGUACACGUCCCGUCUGUGUGUGGGAGGAAAGUUUGCUACGAAUUUGGAAGAACAUGCGUAUGUAACAAUACAAUAAGAUCACACUUGCCAAGCCCAGGAAUACAGACGUAUAGGCUAUGCUAUAGAUAUGGAACUUAUUUAACCAAGCAGGCGACACUGCGUCAUCGUACAUCCAAAAUAGAGGCACCAACGCCAGUACCAAAGCCAGAAGCCAAACUGUGGUUAAUAUCUUUCUGUAUGUACCACGAGUCGAAACCCUGAGCCUCUGAAACGGAUGGAGGACGGCUAAGUAUUUUUCGAGUGUCAAAGCAACUAUGUGAAUUAUCGUAGAAAAAUCUAAUAAGUUUUUGACCAAAUAGUUCGCGCGACAGAAAUCGACAAAGGUUUCGCUUACGGGCGCAUAUUUGGUCCACUGGUUUUCGCAAAAUAUCAAAAUGG
This is a non-coding RNA of Paramuricea clavata, 471 nucleotides long. The record is from the annotation of a GenBank genome assembly. NCBI's taxonomy places the organism in Eukaryota, Metazoa, Cnidaria, Anthozoa, Malacalcyonacea, Plexauridae.